UACGGAGGGUGCAAGCGUUGUUCGGAAUUAUUGGGCGUAAAGGGCGCGUAGGCGGAUCUGCAAGUCGGGGGUGAAAGCCCGAGGCUCAACCUCGGAACUGCCUUCGAUACUGCGGGUCUCGAGUCCGGGAGAGGUGAGUGGAAUUCCUAGUGUAGAGGUGAAAUUCGUAGAUAUUAGGAAGAACACCAGUGGCGAAGGCGGCUCACUGGCCCGGUACUGACGCUGAGGCGCGAAAGCGUGGGGAGCAAACAGG
This 253-nucleotide ribosomal RNA is filed under the name uncultured bacterium. RNAcentral's name for it is "partial 16S ribosomal RNA". It matches the Rfam family "Bacterial small subunit ribosomal RNA", at positions 524 to 776 of the family's 1533-position model. The record is from RNAcentral.